This 236-nucleotide ribosomal RNA is filed under the name Klebsiella pneumoniae. Its description in RNAcentral is "partial 23S ribosomal RNA". It matches the Rfam family "Bacterial large subunit ribosomal RNA", at positions 1399 to 1637 of the family's 2925-position model. The record is from RNAcentral. Lineage: Bacteria; Pseudomonadati; Pseudomonadota; Gammaproteobacteria; Enterobacterales; Enterobacteriaceae.
AGGCCGAAAGGCGUAGUCGAUGGGAAACAGGUUAAUAUUCCUGUACUUGGUGUUACUGCGAAGGGGGGACGGAGAAGGCUAUGUUAGCCGGGCGACGGUUGUCCCGGUUUAAGCAUGUAGGCUGAUUGUCCAGGCAAAUCCGGAUAAUCAAGGCUGAGGUGUGAUGACGAGGCACUACGGUGCUGAAGUAACAAAUGCCCUGCUUCCAGGAAAAGCCUCUAAGCAUCAGGUAACAU